UACGGCUACACUGCAUUGAAACAUAGGUUCCGAUAAGAUCACCAAAGUUAAGCAACGUCGAGCUUGGUCAGUACCUAGAUGGGUUACCGCUUGGAAAUACCAGGUG
This is a non-coding RNA of Acanthosepion pharaonis, 106 nucleotides long. Lineage: Eukaryota; Metazoa; Mollusca; Cephalopoda; Sepiida; Sepiidae. The record is from the annotation of a GenBank genome assembly.